CUACGGGAUGCAGCAGUGAGGAAUAUUGCACAAUGGGGGGAACCCUGAUCCAGCAACGCCGCGUGGAGGAUGACGCAUUUCGGUGUGUAAACUCCUUUUAUAUGUCAAGAAAAUGACGGUAGCAUAUGAAUAAGCACCGGCUAACUCCGUGCCAGCAGCCGCGGUAAUGCGGAGGGUGCAUAGCGUUACUCGGAAUCACUGGGCGUAAAGGACGCGUAGGCGGGUUGGAAAGUCAGGUGUGAAAUCCUACAGCUUAACUGUAGAACUGCACUUGAAACUUCUAAUCUAGAGUAUGGGAGAGGGAGAUGGAAUUAGUGGUGUAGGGGUAAAAUCCGUAGAUAUCACUAGGAAUACCUAAAGCGAAGGCGAUCUCCUGGAACAUUACUGACGCUAAGGCGUGAAAGCGUGGGGAGCAAACAGGAUUAGAUACCCGUGUAGUC
This 440-nucleotide ribosomal RNA is filed under the name uncultured bacterium. RNAcentral's name for it is "partial 16S ribosomal RNA". It matches the Rfam family "Bacterial small subunit ribosomal RNA", at positions 339 to 795 of the family's 1533-position model. The record is from RNAcentral.